Lutra lutra (Eurasian river otter) is the source of this 878-nucleotide long non-coding RNA. RefSeq lists it as uncharacterized. The record is from RefSeq and is a predicted model, not a curated record. Lineage: Eukaryota; Metazoa; Chordata; Mammalia; Carnivora; Mustelidae. The transcript is spliced from 4 exons.
CUGGUUAUUUCAAAGAAAUACCCUUAUCAUGCUUUAUGCUUUCUUGACUGAGAGGAUCUAGAAGCAUUAACACGCCAGUAGCAUAAAGCACCUCAGCCACCCAGAUCUUGGUUCCUAAAUACCAUCUCCCACUAAAAAGAACCAGAGCUCCUUGGCAAAAUGGCGAUUUCAGGAAUGGGACUGGGGAAGUUUAAGAGUCCCCAGGACUACCCCAUGAAGAAAAACAACUAGGCCGGGGAUAAUGGAACAGCUGAGUGACCAUGUGAUCCUAGCAGCACCUUCCUCUGCCUUACCAAAUGGCUAUCCCACUCUAUGGUACUGCUGUCUGCUCAGUUCUGCUCCUGGACUACACUAGAAGCACUGUGAGGACAGGACCCAUGAUUUCCCUUCUCUCAUACCAUGGAUGAGAACUGUUUUGAACACCAGAAUUCACUUCCUGGUGACUGUCCCCUGACAAUACAACUCAGCAGCACAGUUCCGUGACACAGAGCUUUGCUUCGCCAGGUGAUUCUUUAAUUCGAAUUGAUGCCAUGUAACCAAGGCUGAAACCAUGUAAGCUCCAGCCUGUAAAUCUCAUGGCCUUAUUUGGGAAACUACUAUUUCACACCCAAGGUAUCCAUCUUUUCCUUCCUUCAUGCUCAUUCCUUCUCCAUGAUAGUUUCCUAAUGUCAAGAGUCAAGCAUCCUUGUUAAUCUCAGGACUGCAAGGAAACAGAUUUGGCUCUAAACAGGCUUCCUUCAAUUUGUAAAUAGCAGCAAUACAUAGAUUAAGAUACUACCCGAUAGUAUAGAAAUGUCUAAUGCUUGAAGAUGAUGCAUUCCAACAAUAAGUUUCUUUGUCAGAAAAUUUCACUAUCAAAAAAUAGGAGCAAUGUAGGC